This 1618-nucleotide long non-coding RNA is filed under the name Gallus gallus (chicken). The record is from RNAcentral. Lineage: Eukaryota; Metazoa; Chordata; Aves; Galliformes; Phasianidae.
AUUUUAUUUACAGUUUUGUACACUGUCUUAAUAUGAAUGGGACCGCUUUUCUACUUGAGCCAUUUUAACCAAAGCAAAAUAACCUAAGUAAUACAAAGUGUUAAAAUACAGCAUAAGAUACAAAAACAGACAUACUAUUUCUAGUAAGGAAUGUAAAUUAUGGUGUUACAUUAAAAAAAAAUCCACAAUUAUGAUUAGGAAAUCACACAAACAGAUCACUGAAUUUGACUGAAAUGCAUAAAUUUGUAUCAAAGCUUCGAUGUUAAAAAAACAAAAAAUUACCAAAGAAUGCACAAAAUUAAUGUUUAUUCCACCUUUGUCAUAUUCCCAGAUUCUUCACCAAUGUUACAUGAGCAAAAACAACUGAAAUCAAUAUAUCACUAAUGUUAUCAAAUAGGGAAAACAAAUAAAUUAAUCUAGCAGCCAUCAGCAUAGGUUACAGCAAAGGUGAUGCUGUAUAAAAAAAUUGCUAGAAAACUGUAUGCACCAUACUCUUUUCCAAACCAGCAAAAUGUUACUGCAUACAAUGCAAAUGUAAAACAGAGUAAUUUCCUGCAGGUACAGAAAUGCAACUUUUCUGAAUACUGUGGAUAAACAAAUGUUUUUUUGUAAUAGUAAUGUUUCUAUCAAGCUAUUACAGAGUGGGCCAGGAAAACAUUUAUGACUCAGGGGGGUGUACUAAAAUUCUGAUUGGUAAUGGUUACUUCAGCCAAAAUAGAAAAAAAAAUGAACACAGAAGUACAAGACAAAGGCGAAUUAGACUUCUCACAAAUCUUAGCAACAUUUAGAUGGAAAUCAAAUUUAAAUGUAGUCCACUCUGCUUUUGAAGAGGCUUUGGUUCAGCUCCCAAAUCUCGAUUGCUUGACGCAGUCUCCUAUGAAAGAAUACUCAGAAGGUGUCUUCUUAAACAACAAACCUAUUUUUAGUGGUGGAGCCGCUCUUAGUAGCUGUGUCUGCAUGGGACUGAUAACCAAUCACUAUCUUUGGAGGAAGUCCUAAUCUUUCCUUGUAUACUCUCCCUAUAUGCGUAACAGCAUCCCUGUUUUCACAUUCAGUUGUCCAUAUUGCUAUUUUAUCACCUUUAGUUCUAACAUUAACAACAGCACCACAUACAUCAUCGCUGUAGUCAUCAAAUGACUCCCCAAUAAGGCACAGCAGUGUCUCUAGCCAGAAGCGAUCAAGGUCACUUCGUCUCUGCUGUUUGGUUAGUGUAAUUAGCCAUCGGCCUCCUCGCUUGUUUUUCUCAUCUUCCCACAUGGGUUCAAUCCCAUCCUUAAACAGCGAGUAGUCACAACCAGGCAUUAAAUUACUAGAGAGCUGGAUAUGGUUGUAUAAAGCCCAAAAAUCUUCAACAGUAUCAAACUUGGAAAUCAGACGAAGAUUUGCUUGCCAAGUUUUGCUCUUGUCAUUUUUAAAAAACCAGAGCGCCCAUCUGUUUUGUAGUGGAUGCUUAAUAUACUGUUCAGGGCUGGCAACCUCCUGAGUAGGCGCUGGCUCGGUUUUCUCCUCUUCUGAAGGUUGAGGGUUGGGAGUGGUUUCCGGUUCCACGGUCGCCAUCUUAGCUCGGUCUGGCCGCACCAGCGCCGCGGGGAGGGGAAGGGGCGGGUGGGAAAAAAAA